RNAcentral lists this microRNA precursor (100 nucleotides) under Chlorocebus sabaeus (green monkey). RNAcentral's name for it is "miRNA (ENSCSAG00000022020.1)". Lineage: Eukaryota; Metazoa; Chordata; Mammalia; Primates; Cercopithecidae. The record is from RNAcentral.
GAGGUGGGAGGAUUGCUUGAGUCUGGGAGGUUGAGGCCGCAGUAAGUGGAGAUCAUACCACUGCACUCCAACCAGGGUGACAGAGCAAGACCUUGUCUCA